UUCAUGUCGGACCUGUGAUAGAGCUGCCGAUGUGUGCACUUCAUGUCCAGAAGGGAGAUUUCUUCUUGCUGAGACCUGUGUACGUACAUGCCCUCGUGGGACUUUUGGUGACUUGAAAAGUCGAAAGUGUGAGAAUUGCACAGAAGACUGUGAAAACUGCUAUGACCCCAGGCACUGCCUGAAGUGCCAGUCUCAGCCACACCGGCCGCUCUACCUACAUGAAGGCAGAUGCUUUCAGGAGUGCCCCAUGGGGUAUUUUGCUGAAACUGGUACAUGCAUCAAGUGUAGCAGAUCCUGCCAGACGUGUGAAGGAAAUGCCACAAAAUGUCAGUCCUGCGAAAGUCCUUUGCUUCUGGAGCAUUGGGAAUGUAAAAGCUCCUGUUCUGAAAAGCACUUUGCCACCAAUGGAAUCUGUAAACACUGCCCUGAGAUGUGUCAGGAAUGCAUUCAUGAAAGUGCAUGCAAAGUAUGCAUGGACCAAUUUUUUUUGCACAAUGGGAAGUGUCUGCAGGAUUGCCCUUCUGGCUUUUAUGCCGACUCCAGGAGUUGCUCUCUUUGCCAUGAGGACUGCAAAGAAUGUGAUGGGCCUGACUCAGAUGACUGUAAUGAGUGUACCAGCAGGUCCUUUGUUUUGCACAAUGGCGAGUGCUUUGGAGAAUGCCCAGAAGGGACUUACUAUGAAACAGAGACUGAAGAUUGUCAAGGUAUUUUUUUUUUUCAAAAA
RNAcentral lists this long non-coding RNA (724 nucleotides) under Chelydra serpentina (North American snapping turtle). RNAcentral's name for it is "lncRNA (ENSCSRG00000002952.1)". Lineage: Eukaryota; Metazoa; Chordata; Testudines; Chelydridae. The record is from RNAcentral.